Molecule: long non-coding RNA, 726 nt
Organism: Carica papaya (papaya)
Lineage: Eukaryota; Viridiplantae; Streptophyta; Magnoliopsida; Brassicales; Caricaceae
Source: RefSeq, a predicted model, not a curated record
AGAGAGAGAGAGAUAAAUUGAGUGAAAACCAAAAGGAAAAAAAACAAAAACAAAAAAGAAAAACAGAAACCAAAAGGGAAAGCACGAGUUUUUGUGUGCAGAAGUGAGUGAUGCCUUCUUCUCUUCGAGAGCUAACCUAAACAAAACACCAGAAAGCUUCAACAGAAGCUAUGUUUUUCGUUGGAGACAAAUCCAACGGACUGUUUCAGGAAUCACUUCAGACCGCGGGUUCGCUUCAAAUUGUAUCUGACUCUGCAGGUGUUGUCAAGAUUUGGCCCUCUACUUUACCCUUGAGUGAUAGUGGAGAGGUAAUUCUAUUGAGCUUCAACUCGAGAAGAUGACCCGAUGGCAAAAUUGGGUAUAAAGGCCUCUUUAGGCUAAGAUAUGUUUAUUGGACCCCCACCAGGUUCUAAAUUCAUGAUUAUUUAUAAAUUGGAAUCAGUAAAGAAAGAGGAAAGAAUUGAAAAUCUAUUUGACAGUUAUUGUCGGGGGUUUUCUGUUUCUAUUUUUGUAUCUCUAUCUGAAUCUGUUGGUGAACAACUCAUUUUGAAUGGUACUUGGGAUCUCUCUGAUGAAAGUGGAUUCACAAUUGACUAUAGGGACUACAAUGGCAAAGUACUACUAUGGCAUUAGUUUUAUCUAUUCUGUAGGAGGCCAUAGUGGUGAAGUACAGUUGUGGUCAUUAGUUUAUCUCUGAACUAUCUGAUAUUGAAAUGAAUCUAUUUG